RNAcentral lists this ribosomal RNA (491 nucleotides) under uncultured bacterium. Its description in RNAcentral is "bacterial SSU rRNA". It matches the Rfam family "Bacterial small subunit ribosomal RNA", at positions 28 to 526 of the family's 1533-position model. The record is from RNAcentral.
GAUGAACGCUGGCGGCGUGCCUAACACAUGCAAGUCGAGCGGGCCAAGAGAAAUGCUUGCAUUUCUUGGAAGCUAGCGGCGGACGGGUGAGUAACGCGUGGGUAACCUGCCCUUAACACAGGAAUAACUGUGAGAAAUCACAGCUAAUGCCGGAUAAGCUUACAACACCGCAUGGUGAAGUAAGAAAAGAUUUAUCGGUUAAGGAGGGGCCCGCGUCUGAUUAGCUAGUUGGUAAGGUAAAGGCUUACCAAGGCUUCGAUCAGUAGCCGGCCUGAGAGGGUGAACGGCCACAUUGGGACUGAGACACGGCCCAAACUCCUACGGGAGGCAGCAGUGGGGAAUAUUGCACAAUGGGGGAAACCCUGAUGCAGCAACGCCGCGUGAAGGAAGAAGGGUUUCGGCUCGUAAACUUCUAUCGACAGGGAAGAAAGAAAUGACGGUACCUGAAUAAGAAGCCCCGGCUAACUACGUGCCAGCCGCCGCCGUAAAAC